CUGUAGAUGGCUGGAGCCUUCUGAAGUGGUGUGGUUACUCUGUGUGGCUUGAAGCUCUCUGAUAUUGUAUGGUGGCAAUCUGUGUAUUGUGGCUGUCUUGGCUGUGAAGGUGCUAUUCAACCUUUGAGUCUCUUGGAGGAGGAAAGAUGAGAAAAAGAAGCCAUUAUCUUGUAUGUGAUUUACUCCCCUCUAAUCAUUAACAAGGCUAUUAAAAGGUGGAUGUGGAUGAAAAUUCUGGGUAGUGUGUAGGAAAAUAAUAUGGCCGAGGAUCAAGAAUGAACCUGGAAACCAACAGAUUUUGAAGGGCAGAGGUGAGAGACUCAGAGAAGGGAAGAGAAACCUGAAAGAAAAUGAAAUGAGGAGGAAAGAAUAGAGCAAAAACUGUGAUCUGACUCUUUCCAGUCCCUUACGGUAGCUGAAGUGCUUUUCUGUUAAGAUGCCUCCUCUCUUCCCUAAAAUGCUGCAGUUUAAUCUGAAUCCUGAACAAACCUUCUUUUCAUGAAAGGCAGAGCCUUUUGGAAUCACACAGCUUUUCUCCACAAUGGAAAUCUGUGUGUGCAUCAUGAAGAAGAUAAAUAUGUAUAUGAAGAAGUGUCCCCGGGGUCUUUUCCGAAGCAAUGAAGCAUCCUUGUUUCGGGUUACAAUGGCAGCUUGAGGGCAGCAUUUCCAUCCAGAAGAAAAUGGCUGUGACUCUUCAUAAAUAGAGCCCUUCUUGGAAAAUGAGAUAAAAUGCAUAACCAGGAAUGUGUUAACCAAAGAGAGAAGAGAAACAUCAGCAAAAUGAAAAUGAACGGCUGACACAUAGUUGGGGAAAGGUUACCAGUGGGAAUUUCUUUGUCUGAAUGGAUGUUUUGUUGUAUAAAUAGAUGUGUUUUUGUCAUUAUAUGAGCUGCUAGUAUUAAUUAAAAUUGUAAUCAAAUUUCCCUGGUGCUUUUCACACCUGAAAACAAUAGUCCUUCACACAGCUGUAAGGAUUCACUGAGUCAGAGUUUUCUGUUAAUGUUCAUAUCUUAUGUCCAGGUACCAGCUAAUUAGACUGUGCAUUUAAAGUGGGAUUGUUCUUUCUAUUUUUUUCCUCUGUGUUUUUGAGUAGAAAUGUUAGGCUGCUGCUGCAACAGAGCAGUAGCAAUGCUUUGUGACUGACAAAGCAUAUCAUAUUACAAGGUCCACAAUAGGUUUUGCAUGCCCAACACCUUUUUAUAAACGCUGGCUCCUGGCAAAUGUCAGCUGGUGGGAGAAAGAGCUGCUGGCCAGCCUAGCAGAGGGAUGCUGCCGCAUUGUCUCUGUGAAACAAGAUGACUGAAGGUUGUGGCCUGCAGCCUGGCUGUGUGAUGAACUCUCCAGUGUUUGCUUCUUGCCUCCCCCCCAGCUCCUUGAUUGAUACUGAUAGCAGCAGAAGAAAUGUGCCCACUUAGAUCCAUUUUAUAAAACGCACUGGCCCAGACCUAACCACUGGGCAUGCCAGGGGCUAUUGUCUGCCACUUUGUCCCUCAGAUACUCAGGGAAAUUCACGGGCUUUCAAGUCUAGCAAUUACUUUAUGCCUUUACCAGAAGGGAAGGAAAUAGGGUGAUACUUUUAAUAGUAAUUAAAAGGCAAGGAUAAAUUGUGAGCCUAAGUUGAAGCUGCUGGUUAUGAGAGCUCCCCAUAUUGAUUCAGCUUCCGGUUCUGGACCAUCUGUUGUUUCACAUCCUGAAUUCUGAGUAAAAGUCCAGAAGGACUUUACCUAAGCCAACAGAUAUUCCCUAGCAGAGGAAUACCCUUUUGAGUCUACUGUACAGGAGAGACAGAAUUGGAGGGUGAAGAAUGAAAGCUAUAGGUGCACAAGGACAUAUUUUCUUACUAUAUAGUUGGGGUUUUGUUUGCCUUCGUUUGAAAUGUGCAGGAUUCAUCUCAUUACUUGUUCCACAUAUCAGGGUCAUGCAUCCCUUCACACAGGCUUGAAAGA
Long non-coding RNA from Passer montanus (Eurasian tree sparrow), 1946 nucleotides. RefSeq lists it as uncharacterized. NCBI's taxonomy places the organism in Eukaryota, Metazoa, Chordata, Aves, Passeriformes, Passeridae. The transcript is spliced from 3 exons. The record is from RefSeq and is a predicted model, not a curated record.